UACGUAGGGUGCGAGCGUUGUCCGGAAUUAUUGGGCGUAAAGAGCUUGUAGGCGGUUAGUCGCGUCUGCUGUGAAAAUCCGGGGCUCAACCCCGGACUUGCAGUGGGUACGGGCAGACUAGAGUGUGGUAGGGGAGACUGGAAUUCCUGGUGUAGCGGUGGAAUGCGCAGAUAUCAGGAGGAACACCGAUGGCGAAGGCAGGUCUCUGGGCCACUACUGACGCUGAGAAGCGAAAGCAUGGGGAGCGAACAGG
RNAcentral lists this ribosomal RNA (253 nucleotides) under uncultured bacterium. Its description in RNAcentral is "partial 16S ribosomal RNA". It matches the Rfam family "Bacterial small subunit ribosomal RNA", at positions 524 to 776 of the family's 1533-position model. The record is from RNAcentral.